This 466-nucleotide long non-coding RNA is filed under the name Brassica napus (rape). Its description in RNAcentral is "long non-coding RNA (BNAP_LNC015381)". The record is from RNAcentral. Lineage: Eukaryota; Viridiplantae; Streptophyta; Magnoliopsida; Brassicales; Brassicaceae.
UGAGAGGACAUAUAGCAAAUCACAUCUUAAAUAAUGUCUAAGGGAUAGUUGAUUAGUUGACUAGUAGAUAUCCUUGCUUUGAACAUGGAAACAUUAAUGAUUCAUCUGAAAGAAAAAAACUAAUUUAGUCUAUUAGGCUCAUGGUCAUCUAGAAUUAUAUAUAUAUAUAUAUAUAUAUAUAUAUAUAUUAUGAUAAAGAAAUCACCUAUUAUUGAUUAAAUUGUGCAUGUGAAUUUUAGAUUUUUUAAAUUGAAUACAUGUCCAACGUGUUUAGUUUAAUAUAAGAUGCUUUUAGCUGAUCUUAAAGAUUUAGUUCGAGAUUUAUUUUGAUUAAUAAUAGUAUUUUUCUAAUCCAAACUGAAAACGUUCGUUUUGGUUUAUGCUGUAAACUAAUUGGUGAGAACCGUUUAUUUCAAAAUUUCAGAUUUAGGGAGAUAAUUUGGAACGUGUUUGUUUUGCUAUUUUG